RNAcentral lists this microRNA precursor (153 nucleotides) under Brassica juncea (brown mustard). RNAcentral describes it as "precursor microRNA R164b". It matches the Rfam family "MIR164 microRNA precursor family". Lineage: Eukaryota; Viridiplantae; Streptophyta; Magnoliopsida; Brassicales; Brassicaceae. The record is from RNAcentral. RNAcentral also lists the same sequence under 1 other name.
GAUGGAGAAGCAGGGCACGUGCAUUACUAACUCAUCCCUUAGCCCACAUAUAUACACAGUAACACACUCUCCCCAAAUGCAUGUAUAUGAGAGAGAUGUGUGUGGAGUGUGAUGAUACUUGAGUUAGUUCUUCAUGUGCCCAUCUUCCCCAUC